UACAGAGGGUGCAAGCGUUAAUCGGAAUUACUGGGCGUAAAGCGCGCGUAGGUGGUUUGUUAAGUUGGAUGUGAAAUCCCCGGGCUCAACCUGGGAACUGCAUUCGAUACUGGCUGGCUAGAGUGUGGUAGAGGGAAGUGGAAUUCCAGGUGUAGCGGUGAAAUGCGUAGAUAUGUGGAGGAACACCGAUGGCGAAGGCAGCCCCUGGGCCGAUACUGACGCUCAUGCACGAAAGCGUGGGGAGCAAACAGGAUUA
This 256-nucleotide ribosomal RNA is filed under the name uncultured bacterium. Its description in RNAcentral is "partial 16S ribosomal RNA". It matches the Rfam family "Bacterial small subunit ribosomal RNA", at positions 524 to 780 of the family's 1533-position model. The record is from RNAcentral.